UGGGGAAUUUUGGACAAUGGGGGAAACCCUGAUCCAGCCAUCCCGCGUGUGCGAUGAAGGCCUUCGGGUUGUAAAGCACUUUUGGCAGGAAAGAAACGUCGCGGGUUAAUACCCCGCGAAACUGACGGUACCUGCAGAAUAAGCACCGGCUAACUACGUGCCAGCAGCCGCGGUAAUACGUAGGGUGCAAGCGUUAAUCGGAAUUACUGGGCGUAAAGCGUGCGCAGGCGGUUCGGAAAGAAAGAUGUGAAAUCCCAGAGCUUAACUUUGGAACUGCAUUUUUAACUACCGGGCUAGAGUGUGUCAGAGGGAGGUGGAAUUCCGCGUGUAGCAGUGAAAUGCGUAGAUAUACGGAGGAACACCGAUGGCGAAGGCAGCCUCCUGGGAUAACACUGACGCUCAUGCACGAAAGCGUGGGGAGCAAACAGGAUUAGAUACCCUGGUAGUCCACGCCCUAAACGAUGUCAACUAGCUGUUGGGGCCUUCGGGCCUUGGUAGCGCAGCUAACGCGUGAAGUUGACCGCCUGGGGAGUACGGUCGCAAGAUUAAAACUCAAAUGAAUUGAC
RNAcentral lists this ribosomal RNA (566 nucleotides) under uncultured bacterium. Its description in RNAcentral is "partial 16S ribosomal RNA". It matches the Rfam family "Bacterial small subunit ribosomal RNA", at positions 355 to 914 of the family's 1533-position model. The record is from RNAcentral.